CAACGGAGAGUUUGAUCCUGGCUCAGGACGAACGCUGGCGGCGUGCCUAACACAUGCAAGUCUAGGGAGAAAGGGGUAGCAAUAUCCCGAGUACACCGGCGCAAGGGUGAGUAACACGUAGGCAACCUGCCCUGGGGAUGGGAAUAACCCCGAGAAAUCGGGGCUAAAACCCAAUAAUGCAGCGGCAUCUCAUGAUGAUGUUGUUAAAUGUCGCGAGACGCCUCAGGAUGGGCCUGCGUCCCAUUAGGUAGUUGGCGGGGUAACGGCCCACCAAGCCGACGAUGGGUAGCUGGUCUGAGAGGACGAUCAGCCACACUGGAACUGAGACACGGUCCAGACUCCUACGGGAGGCAGCAGUGAGGAAUAUUG
This 369-nucleotide ribosomal RNA is filed under the name Ignavibacteria bacterium GWA2_55_11. RNAcentral describes it as "bacterial SSU rRNA". It matches the Rfam family "Bacterial small subunit ribosomal RNA", at positions 1 to 366 of the family's 1533-position model. Lineage: Bacteria; Pseudomonadati; Ignavibacteriota; Ignavibacteria. The record is from RNAcentral.